CCCGCCACUGCGCCUGUCACUAUAUUGGCUUGUGCAAUCCAGUGGUGAGCUGAGACUAAACCCCAGCUUAGGAAACAGGGUUGUUCUCCAUGUGGAUGACUCUGUGCCGAAGGCAUGGGAACAGCC
Small nucleolar RNA from Sorex fumeus (smoky shrew), 126 nucleotides. RefSeq annotates it as small nucleolar RNA SNORA65. NCBI's taxonomy places the organism in Eukaryota, Metazoa, Chordata, Mammalia, Eulipotyphla, Soricidae. The record is from RefSeq and is a predicted model, not a curated record. The transcript has a single exon.